Molecule: long non-coding RNA, 263 nt
Organism: Ananas comosus (pineapple)
Lineage: Eukaryota; Viridiplantae; Streptophyta; Magnoliopsida; Poales; Bromeliaceae
Exons: 3
Source: RefSeq, a predicted model, not a curated record
UUCUCCCUCUCCCUCUCUAACCUGCAACCAUGACUUCGGCGUCGCCGCCUCCGCCUCAACCGUGUCCACGUCGCCCGCCUCCGCCUCGACCGCGUGCACGUCGUCCCACCGCCCCUUGCCUCCAUCGACCUCCACGUCGCCCUGCCACCCCUGCAGGGGGUUUAUAUGUACAAAUUGAUUUGGAAACAAAUUUAUAUGGAAGAGAUAUGAAGUAAGAAUAUAGAGUGUAUUUUGCUGUUAAUGAAGUUGAACAAUGUAUGAGG